UGAAGGUAUAGUUUUGAAAGAACUUUGAGAAAAAUGUUUACAAGCUUAGAGAAAACACAUAUAUACAAAAGAUCUAAAAGAAUCAAAAAAACCUUGACGGGUUAGGAUUUGAGAAGAGCCCAGGUGGUGAGAAAGUCUUGGAAAGUCACUGAUAUGAGCCGAAGAAGUCGUGAUCGGGCUCGAAUGAACAUGGAUGACCAGAGCAAGGUCGGAGACGGUCAUAGAACUCGAAUCAAACAAGGCCUGAGCCAAGCUUCUUCGUGGUCAGACCUUGAAACUUCAGUAACCAGGUGUGUAAGAGCUAUAAAAGGCCGGUGUAUGACUUCAAUGGCCUUGGAAGCCAUGGGUUCUGGUGGUUUUAGGGCGGAAGUGUAAAGAGGUGGCUAGGGUUUCAGAGAGAGAUUAAGAGAAUGAGGGAUUCAAAAGUGGAUGGGGAUGCAAAA
This 443-nucleotide long non-coding RNA is filed under the name Nicotiana benthamiana. Its description in RNAcentral is "long non-coding RNA (NBEN_LNC036136)". The record is from RNAcentral. Lineage: Eukaryota; Viridiplantae; Streptophyta; Magnoliopsida; Solanales; Solanaceae.